AAAUUGAAGAGUUUGAUCAUGGCUCAGAUUGAACGCUGGCGGCAGGCCUAACACAUGCAAGUCGAACGGUAACAGGAAGCAGCUUGCUGCUUCGCUGACGAGUGGCGGACGGGUGAGUAAUGUCUGGGAAACUGCCUGAUGGAGGGGGAUAACUACUGGAAACGGUGGCUAAUACCGCAUAACGUCGCAAGACCAAAGAGGGGGACCUUCGGGCCUCUUGCCAUCAGAUGUGCCCAGAUGGGAUUAGCUUGUUGGUGAGGUAACGGCUCACCAAGGCGACGAUCCCUAGCUGGUCUGAGAGGAUGACCAGCCACACUGGAACUGAGACACGGUCCAGACUCCUACGGGAGGCAGCAGUGGGGAAUAUUGCACAAUGGGCGCAAGCCUGAUGCAGCCAUGCCGCGUGUAUGAAGAAGGCCUUCGGGUUGUAAAGUACUUUCAGCGGGGAGGAAGGUGUUGUGGUUAAUAACUACAGCAAUUGACGUUACCCGCAGAAGAAGCACCGGCUAACUCCGUGCCAGCAGCCGCGGUAAUACGGAGGGUGCAAGCGUUAAUCGGAAUUACUGGGCGUAAAGCGCACGCAGGCGGUCUGUCAAGUCGGAUGUGAAAUCCCCGGGCUCAACCUGGGAACUGCAUUCGAAACUGGCAGGCUUGAGUCUUGUAGAGGGGGGUAGAAUUCCAGGUGUAGCGGUGAAAUGCGUAGAGAUCUGGAGGAAUACCGGUGGCGAAGGCGGCCCCCUGGACAAAGACUGACGCUCAGGUGCGAAAGCGUGGGGAGCAAACAGGAUUAGAUACCCUGGUAGUCCACGCCGUAAACGAUGUCUACUUGGAGGUUGUGCCCUUGAGGCGUGGCUUCCGGAGCUAACGCGUUAAGUAGACCGCCUGGGGAGUACGGCCGCAAGGUUAAAACUCAAAUGAAUUGACGGGGGCCCGCACAAGCGGUGGAGCAUGUGGUUUAAUUCGAUGCAACGCGAAGAACCUUACCUGGUCUUGACAUCCACGGAAGUUUUCAGAGAUGAGAAUGUGCCUUCGGGAACCGUGAGACAGGUGCUGCAUGGCUGUCGUCAGCUCGUGUUGUGAAAUGUUGGGUUAAGUCCCGCAACGAGCGCAACCCUUAUCCUUUGUUGCCAGCGGUUAGGCCGGGAACUCAAAGGAGACUGCCAGUGAUAAACUGGAGGAAGGUGGGGAUGACGUCAAGUCAUCAUGGCCCUUACGACCAGGGCUACACACGUGCUACAAUGGCGCAUACAAAGAGAAGCGACCUCGCGAGAGCAAGCGGACCUCAUAAAGUGCGUCGUAGUCCGGAUUGGAGUCUGCAACUCGACUCCAUGAAGUCGGAAUCGCUAGUAAUCGUGGAUCAGAAUGCCACGGUGAAUACGUUCCCGGGCCUUGUACACACCGCCCGUCACACCAUGGGAGUGGGUUGCAAAAGAAGUAGGUAGCUUAACCUCCGGGAGGGCGCUUACCACUUUGUGAUUCAUGACUGGGGUGAAGUCGUAACAAGGUAACCGUAGGGGAACCUGCGGUUGGAUCACCUCCUUACCUGAAAGAAGC
RNAcentral lists this ribosomal RNA (1554 nucleotides) under Salmonella enterica subsp. enterica serovar Fresno. Its description in RNAcentral is "bacterial SSU rRNA". It matches the Rfam family "Bacterial small subunit ribosomal RNA". Lineage: Bacteria; Pseudomonadati; Pseudomonadota; Gammaproteobacteria; Enterobacterales; Enterobacteriaceae. The record is from RNAcentral.